UUUCAACGUCGGUUGAUAUAGCCAAGAUGUCUUAAAAUAUUGUAGAAAAUAAGAAGAAAUAUUCCAUUGUCUAAAGAUUCAGACAAUAAUUUUAAAUGUAAGUGUUCAACUAUGUCAAUAUUUUUAAGUUUCGUAUGUAAAUAUGUGCCAUAAAUAGUUAUAUAUUCAAGUAUAUUUUAACCGCCCUUGCCGUUGGCCGCAUUGUAUUUUGUAUUUGGUUCAACAAUAUAUUGUUAUUAAAAUACAUUAAAACUUGGUGAUAUUGCUUUGUAUUGACAGGUUAUAAUUUCAAGCAAUAAAUACUGUCAUAGUAUGUGUUCCAAGCAAGUCGAACUGUCGAAAUCAUGAUAUAUACAGGCUACAAGAAGGUAUGAAAUAUACAAUUAUACAGUAGAUAACGCAAAGGCCCACAAAGGAAGGAUAUUGCUCCCUCAUACAAAGCCAUCAUGGAACUUGCUUUGGCGAUUAUAUAAAUAUUAGCUAAAUGAGUUAAUAUUGAUACCCUUUCAAUAGUGAUCAAUACAUCAAUACAUUAAAAUUAACAAUAUAAACAUUUAUUACCUCCGCCAGGAGGUUAUGUAAUCAUCUGGGUUUGUAUGUGUGUGUAUGUGUAUCUCCGCCAGGAGGUUAUGUAAUCAUCUGGGUUUGUAUGUGUGUGUAUGUGUAUUUAUGUAAUCAUCUGGGUUUGUAUGUGUGUGUAUGUGUAUGUGUAUGUGUAUGUGUAUGUGUAUGUGUAUGUGUAUGUGUAUGUGUAUGUGUGUGUGUGUGUGUGUGUGUGUGUGUGUGUGUGUGUGUGUGUGUGUAUGUGUGUGUGUUUGUCUGUGAGCACGAGUUUGUCUGUGAGCACGAUAACUCAAGAAAUACCAAACAUAUUCAUACGAAGUUUUUUGAAUGCAUUUCCCAUCGGCUAAGGAAGAACUGAUUAACAUUUGGUUGAAUUUGGUUAAAAAUUGAAUGAGAAAUAACAAAAGUUUGUCUUGCUUUUCCCGGUCAAUUAAAUAAAACUUUAUACUGAAUGCGUAAUUAGGACGUGCAUAAUAUAUGCACCAGCCAUUCAAAUUCUAAUAAUAACAAUAGAUUACUUCAAUAGUUUGCGCGUAGGCGGAGGUAUGCAGUCUCUGAGUGCCCUCUAGUAUAUUUGUUAAUGUAUUGAUCUAUUGAGCGGAUAUCAAUGCUGGCUCAAUAGCUAUUAAUAUUGAUAUAAUCUCCAAAGCAAGUUCUAUGGCUUUGUAUUAGGCCCUGUUUACAUGAGACCACAACAAAGUCAAACCGGGACCAUUUCGUUUCACUCAUAGUAUUAUCUAUAAUAGAUGUCUACAUGAGACCGGGAUGAAAAUAACUCAGACCGGUCUCAAAUCAUUCUGCCUGCUGGACCGAGCCGCGACUGACUUCAGACCGGCAUGAAUUCAGACCGGGAUGAAUGUAAACACAAAUACAUUUCAGACUGGUCUUGGCUGUAACCUUGACAUUGGAACAACACAUGCUAACAAAAGCCAUCUGAACAAGAAAAUUGCCUGGCAAGGGGAAUAAAUUGAAAAUGUUGUGAUUUUUCUAAUGCUCUCAUGUAAACAUAUAACACUUUUUGUUUGUGGAAACACCACGUACAUUUAUUACUGCAAAGCACAAAGAACUCAUGUAAACAUGUUGACAAUUUCAAUUUUUCUUCCAGUUUAACUUCGUCCAGGUUUCAUGUAAACGGGACCUAAGAGCAGAACAAUCCUUCCUUUGUCUUAUCUAUAUUGUGCUAUCAUAGUAAAUAGCUACAUUUCUAUAAAUAUAAUAUUCAGACAACCCAGGUUGAAUGUUCCUAAAUUCCCUGAAUACAUUGAGGAUACAUGUUUGAGUCCUCAUACUGUUAAUUAUAUGCCUGUGAGAAUUUCCAGGCUCACAAUUUUAUGCAUAAAGAAACUGUUUAAGGGGCCACGACCAUAUUCAUGUUGCCACAACAACAUUGAAUCGACGUUAUGAGUGGGUGGGUUUUUAUGUGAACUUAUCAACGUUAUCUCGUGGCAAUUUGAAAAUUAAUGCCAAUAAAUUACAGUAAACCUCCGACUAUAAGCCCGGACCUCGAAUAUAAGCCCCCCCCCACAUAUACAAACGGUCACCUCAUUCCAAAUAUAAGCCCGCCCCCCCCCCGAAUAUAAGCCCACCCGAAUAUAAGCCCUCCAAAUAUAAGUCCCCUGAAUAUAAGCCCAGUUGCCCACUACGUUACUCAACAUUGGUCACAUUGUUUUUAAUAUACUAUAGCAGAGAACUGUUUUUGAACAGAUGACAAUAUUUAAAAACAUUAUUGUCAUUGUCUUUAUAGACCACUAUGUGAAUCAAAACGCGUUAUAAAUACAUGUUUAUUUUCCUGUUUAUGACUGACUUGUUUAUGUCUGACUUGUUUGUUACGAACACAAAAAAUCGUCCAUGUAUAAGCCCCCCCCCCGUAUAUAAGCCCACCCUUGUAUAAGCCCAUCAGAAAUCGCUUACGAAAGUAUAUAAGCCCAGGGCUUAUAGUCGGAGGUUUACGGUAUCAAUAAUUGACGUUAAAUUAUUAAUUUACAAUAAAUUAUCUACAAAUUAACUUGGACUGUAAAAUAAUACCAAUUUUCAUUUUGUAGCCAAUCACUCACCACAGAAAAUUACAAAUUGAGUUGCAUUAUGCCCUGAUAUGCUCUACUUUAUACACCCUUUUCAUAGAUGGCUACCGAUAAAAAUUAUUUAUUGUGCAUAUAAAUUGGCCCAACUAGCCUCGUUUCUGGGUAGAAAUUCCUUUGAAAUCUUAACAUGAGUACGAGGCUAGUUGGGCCAAUUUAUAUGCACAUGAAAGAAUUUUUAAUCGGCAGCCAUUUAUGAAAAGGGUGUAUUAUUUUACUUUAUUUAAUGCCAGACUAUUUAACUCUGUCUGAUGCCAGACAAUUUUACUCAUAAUGGGUUAAUUUAAUUUUACUCUUAAUGGGUUACCUGUCAUAUCUGCCCAUGUGUCUAUAGUUACCCCCAUCAUGUCACAUUGCACCCUACUUUAUUAUUUUACUUUGUCUAACGCCAGACAAUUUUACUUGUCAACUGGCUCCCGCUUAAUGGGUUAGAGUACCAUUCAGCAAAAAUUCUAUUGGUUACAAAUGACCUAUACCGGUAACAUAAACUUUCAUUUGGAUUGUGACUGAUAUAAACUAUACUGAAAUGAUUCAACUGAAUCAAAGUAUGUAAUUGUGAGAAGUAUUUACAAAAGUAGGUUGUUUAAUUACAGCAUAAAAAAAAAGAAAACCAUUCAAAGAACUUCUUAUUUUUCAGGUAGUCGAACGACCUACUAUUUGCAACUGCGGUUAGUGUAUAGUUUAGUUUGCUCACGAAUAUUUACAAAAAAACUUAUUCUCUAGAAGAAGGCAGAGCUAGGGUGAAUCCUCAACAAGGAAAACAUUGAGAAAGAGAUCGGAGAGUUGUGGCAACUAAAGAAGCCAGAUAUUUUGGCAGCAUUGAAGAAGAUGAAUUGUCAUGCUGUCAACAAUAUACUCAAGUUGGAUGAUUGUGAAUUGACAUGUGAAAUACGUAGAUUUCACCGCAACUCAUGUGAGAAAGGUGUGGUAAAAUCUUGCAUUUUUUUAUUAGUGAUAAGUAUGGUACCUGUAUGAUUGAUUAUAGUGGUUUUGAAGAAACAAUUGUUUAGUAUCCGUACGUUUAUAUUAUGGUCAUGGAUUAAACGAUUAACAUAGAUUAACAUACCUAUUCUAUAUAGAAGUUAAUGUAUAUGUGUAUACAGUAUAUACUGCACAGAAAUUUAUUCUAUGUUAAAACCUUUUUGUAGAGUUAUCAGGAUGCUCAACCCCUUGUCUAUUGGCCACUGAACCUCUGGAUGAGAUAAGUUUGAUUUCAUUGAUUGCAGAGGGAAUGGUUGUAAAACAUUCAGAUUGUACAAUAUAGCCAACAACCCGCAGUUUAUGAUAAUGGCAAUGAUGAUAUUGUCUCAUUAAAGGGUAUUGGCAACAAAAAAUGUUAUUGUUUCAUCUGAAAGAGCAUGAAAAAAUAAGCCGAUUGGCCGUUUAAUGCUCUAUUCUAUCUCAUCUACUUCCGAAGUUAUACGCAAAAAUGUCCAAAAUAUAAGUUGCUGAUUCAGCGCAACGUGUGACGUCAUUGGUUGGGUAAGUAUGUUUAAUGAAUACUAAACUGAAGCAUAGCUCAGUUAUUAUAGACCCAAAUCAAAUGAAAUUUUGCAUACUGAUUGUACAUGAUGAGACGCAUUGAAAAACACUUCUAAUUUUGUUGCCAAGGUAACAAUGUCGUUCCCAGGCCCCUUUCGCCAAUUUUAUAAAACAGCUUUAUUCAUGGUACUUAUAAGAAUAAAAUAAUAUCAUAAGUAUGUGUACCAUACCUAUGCAUGCCAAAAGUUUACUUGGAUGAUAAUAAUUCGAAAAUGACAUACACAUAGAUAAAUG
Molecule: long non-coding RNA, 4418 nt
Filed under: Paramuricea clavata
Lineage: Eukaryota; Metazoa; Cnidaria; Anthozoa; Malacalcyonacea; Plexauridae
Source: RNAcentral